GGAAAGGCAGCAAUCUGCCACUUAUGGAUGGACCCGCGGCGCAUUAGCUAGUUGGUGGGGUAACUUGUAUUAGUGGCUCACCAAGGCGACGAUGCGUAGCCGACCUGAGAGGGUGAUCGGCCAUUGAUCUCACUGGGACUGAGACACGGCCCAGUCCUACGGGAGGCAGCAGUAGGGAAUCUAAUCCAGUUCCGCAAUGGACGAAAGUCUGACGGAGCAACGCCGCGUGAGUGAUGAAGGUUUUCGGAUCGUAAAGCUCUGUUGCCAGGGAAGAAUGCUGAGAGUAACUGCUCGCAAGGUGACGGUACCUGGUACUGGAGAAGAAAGCCCCGGCUAACUACGUGCCAGCAGCCGCGGUAAUACGUAGGGGGCAAGCGUUGUCCGGAAUUAUUGGGCGUAAAGCGCGCGCAGGCGGCCUUGUAAGUCUGUCGUUUAAACUCGGAGCUCAACUUCGAGUCGCGAUAACUGCAAAGCUUGAGUGCAGAAGAGGAAAGUGGAAUUCCACGUGUAGCGUUUGAUCGUGAAAUGCGUAGAGAUGUGGAGGAACACCUGGCGAAGGCGACUUUCUGGGCUGUAACUGACGCUGAGGCGCGAAAGCGUGGGGAGUUUAGUCCAAACAGGAUUAGAUACCCUGGUAGUCCACGCCGUAAACGAUGAAUGCUAGGUGUUAGGGGUUUCGAUACCCUUGGUGCCGAAGUUAACACAUUAAGCAUUCCGCCUGGGGAGUACGGUCGCAAAAUGGUCGACUGAAACUCAAAGGAAUUGACGGGGACCCGCACAAGCAGUGGAGUAUGUGGUUUAAUUCGAAGCAACGCGAAGAAUAGUCCCCCUUACCAGGUCUUGACAUCCCUCUGACCGGUCUAGAGAUAGGCCUUUCCUUCGGGACAGAGGUUUAGUCAGACAGGUGGUGCAUGGUUGUCGUCAGCUCGUGUCGUGAGAUGUUGGGUUAAGUCCCGCAACGAGCGCAACCCUUGAUCUUAGUUGCCAGCACUUUGGGUGGGCACUCUAGGAUGACUGCCGGUGACAAACCGGAGGAAGGUGGGGAUGACGUCAAAUCAUCAAUGUCAUGCCCCUUAUGACCUGGGCUACACACGUACUACAAUGGCCGAUACAACGGGAAGCGAAGCCGCGAGGAGCCAAUCCUAUCAAAGUGGCCAUGUCG
Molecule: ribosomal RNA, 1162 nt
Filed under: Paenibacillus sp. NANO-12
Lineage: Bacteria; Bacillati; Bacillota; Bacilli; Caryophanales; Paenibacillaceae
Description: bacterial SSU rRNA
Rfam family: Bacterial small subunit ribosomal RNA
Source: RNAcentral